UUGGAGGGCAAGUCUGGUGCCAGCAGCCGCGGUAAUUCCAGCUCCAAUAGCGUAUAUUAAAGUUGUUGCAGUUAAAAAGCUCGUAGUUGAAUUUCAGGCCUGGCUGGACGGUCCGCCCUUCGGGUGAGUACUGUCUGUGGUCGGGUCCUACCUUCUGGCGAAGCGUCAUGGCCUUAACCGGCCGUGGCGGGGAACCAGGACUUUUACUGUGAAAAAAUUAGAGUGUUUAAAGCAAGCUAACGCUUGAAUACAUUAGCAUGGAAUAAUGAAAUAGGACGUUCGAUCCUAUUUUGUUGGUUUCUAGGAUUGACGUAAUGAUUAAUAGGGAUAGUUGGGGGCAUUAGUAUUCAAUUGUCAGAGGUGAAAUUCUUGGAUUUAUUGAAGACUAACUUCUGCGAAAGCAUUUGCCAAGGAUGUUUUCAUUAAUCAAGAACGAAAGUUAGGGGAUCGAAGACGAUCAGAUACCGUCGUAGUCUUAACCAUAAACUAUGCCGACUAGGGAUCGGACGAUGUUAAUUUUUUAAUGACUCAUUCGGCGCCUUACGGGAAAC
This 551-nucleotide ribosomal RNA is filed under the name uncultured Paraglomeraceae. Its description in RNAcentral is "bacterial SSU rRNA". It matches the Rfam family "Eukaryotic small subunit ribosomal RNA", at positions 548 to 1098 of the family's 1831-position model. The record is from RNAcentral. Lineage: Eukaryota; Fungi; Glomeromycota; Glomeromycetes; Paraglomerales.